UAAGAAUUCUCUGAAUUACAUACUAUUAUUUUUCUUACUUUACAGAUGGGGAAACCAAGGCUUAGUGGCCUUAAUAAUAUUUAACGCUGGUAGCAGAGUAAAGAGUAAAGGCUGACUGCAUACAGGCUGUCUGAUUCAGGAGCCCACGUGUUUAAUUGCUGGGCUGUCCUGCCUGUGAAUUUAAGUCCUUGUGGAAAAAUGUCUGGAAAGGAAACACAAGACCUUCAGCCAAGUCAGCUGGUCAGACCCUGCGAGUGGCAGCGGGCCCGACUGGAAAGGAAGCAGGAAGGGCCUCUAGGAGGAAGCAGGGCUGAUGUGCUGGGUGGUCCUGGGAUGACUGGUUUGGGAAGGCAGACGGUCAAGGCUACCGUUGUCUGGAAGGAAGGGCUUCCUGCUGUGGCUGCAAGGAGAACUGUCCGUACUUACCUGCGGCAGUGAAUUGUCCAGACUGGAUCUAUUUGCCUGAAGGCAGUGGCACAGGGACUCGGGGCGCUUGGUGGAGACUGGACAGCACUAGUGUGACAAGGUCUAUGCCUGGUGCCUUCAAUGGUGAUCUUUUUCCUUCUCCCAAGUUUGAGACGGAUGCAGUGGAGUAGGAGCUAUGUUCCUACCAGAGCCAGGACCAGCUCCAUCACCUGACGCAGCGGAGAGGGCUUUACCCAAAAGUGAUCCUGGGAACCAGCACCAGCCUUAACGCCUCACAGUGCAUCACAGACGUUGACAGGGAGAGCCCAGGGAUGUCUCACAACUGCCUUGCCAGGAAGAGGGUGUUUGAGGUUGAACCAGUCUUAGAUCUGUAGGUGGGACAAGUGCACCCAUAUUCCGUGCCUUGGGCAACCAAUAAAGUUAAGUUGUAAACAUCUCAGUGCUUUUCACAGCAAGCAUCUGGGCUUCUCACCACCUUUCCCCCAACCUGCUGGUAUUCUCAUCCCUUCAAAGAUGACGGCUCAGACGCCACCCCAGAGUGUCCCAUUCUAGACCUCCUCAGGCAGGUCUCACACUCAGACGUUCCCUUGGGAUGGAACCCACACAGGAAGCUGCCUCGGGUGUCUUCCCAGGAGAGUUCCAGGAGGCUGCAGACAUUUAUAACACAUGUCAGUCCUAGAGCCACACCUACAUGGAAGCAGUGAAAUAUUUAGGUGUUCUGCAGUCCCUGUCCCUGAUAAGAAGGGUGCAGGGAGAAAGCCACCGUAACUGGAUAAUUAGCAGAAGUGACAGUCGGGCCACUGCACUCACAGUUUCUGUUCCUCACCUCAUUUGUGGAGGCUGCAGGGUAAUCUUAACUCCCAAACCAUUUUAGGAUAGUUGAGAGCAAUUUCCUAUCCUCCUCAUACAGCUACAGAUAUAGUACUUGUAGCCAGGAUUUGGGGGGAAAGUGAAGAAAUGGGUUAUUUCAUGUUUGAGAUACAGCAACGCCCUGUCAGUGGGUUACUUGGAACUUCUGGACUUCAUCCGGCCUGAGGGCCCCACACAGGAGAGCCUAGUCAGCUUAUCACCCAGAAGCUCACCUGGGGAUGGGGUCAGGUAACCAGAGCCACCGAUCUGGGGCGGCAGCUGCCUUAGAAACCCCACCUGCACACUAUAGUUCAGAGACAGAUGCAGGAGGGUCUGAGAGGUGAACAGGUGCAGAACCCUGAGUCUGAAAGCCCCCUUCUUAACUGGCACCUCAGGCAGGACUUUUCUGGUCCUCCCCUGAAAAAUGAGAGAUUUGGGCACUCAUAUGAUCUUUCCUACAUACCACAAGAAUAUUGAUUUAUUAAU
Vicugna pacos (alpaca) is the source of this 1761-nucleotide non-coding RNA. The record is from RefSeq and is a predicted model, not a curated record. Lineage: Eukaryota; Metazoa; Chordata; Mammalia; Artiodactyla; Camelidae.